GCCUGGCCCUACUUGGCUUCCUGGCCCCACCUGGCCCUGCUUAACUAGUGACCUGCUUCUACACAUCAGGGCAACUCAAUUCCCAGCAGCGGCAGCGGCAGCGGCAGCAGCGACAACACAGUGGUGGCAUCAGCUCUGUGAUGAGGGUGGAGCCUGUGCACCUCCCCGAUGGCCACAGCAAUGUUGGAGAGGAGGCUGCUGACACUGAGUGCCACCUGAGUGCUGGGUGUGGUGAAAAGACCUUGUGACAAGCAGCCCUGUGUACACCGUGAACACCAGUGAGCACCUCACGCAUUCGGCGCCAAGGCCCAGAGAACCCAGAAAAGGCCUGGCUGUGGAACUCGUGACCCUCUGGUUGGCUGCAGGGCUUUAGGACCUUCAGCUCACUCUGCUGCCAGCCAGGCCCAAGUCUUCCCUCUACAGGAUACCAGUUCAACACUGAAUUCUGCCUCGGGCUCCAGGAAAGUCGUGCUGCUCUGGGAGGAUGCCCCGCUGCUCCUUCUGCUGGCUCCUUGGUGAUUGAUAGUGCGGAGAGGUGGGGAGCAGCCGUCCCGCCCUAGCGCCCUAGCGCUCACUCCAGAAGAUUGAGA
Fukomys damarensis (Damara mole-rat) is the source of this 590-nucleotide long non-coding RNA. RefSeq lists it as uncharacterized. The transcript has 4 exons. NCBI's taxonomy places the organism in Eukaryota, Metazoa, Chordata, Mammalia, Rodentia, Bathyergidae. The record is from RefSeq and is a predicted model, not a curated record.